GUGGGUUGAAAACACAGUUAUUAUUUCGUAGUGCAUUUCUUUUAGACAAAAAGCGCAAAUUAAAAAAAUCAUACGUGCUCUAUCCUAAAAAGAUUUUUUUACAGUGUAGUCUACUACUUUAUGGACAAAUUAAUUAACAUUGUCGAACAGUCUAUCGGCUCUAACUCAAAAUAUGAACAAUUCUUUGUUAAGGGGGUUUGUAAUUCAGUUUGACAGCUUCAGGCAUACCUAUUUCUGACCUUUUCAAACUGGACCAAAACACUUUUUUACGUAUACUGUAUCCUCCAAUUUUGUUAGACAAGUAAGUUCACUCCCUACUUACUAUUUUUUUUAUACAUAAAAUAUAAAUGAAUAAAUUUGGAAGGUAUGUGAAAAACAAUUUGCAC
RNAcentral lists this long non-coding RNA (386 nucleotides) under Mytilus galloprovincialis (Mediterranean mussel). The record is from RNAcentral. Lineage: Eukaryota; Metazoa; Mollusca; Bivalvia; Mytilida; Mytilidae.